RNAcentral lists this ribosomal RNA (328 nucleotides) under uncultured eukaryote. Its description in RNAcentral is "partial 18S ribosomal RNA". It matches the Rfam family "Eukaryotic small subunit ribosomal RNA", at positions 1470 to 1796 of the family's 1831-position model. The record is from RNAcentral.
CCCUUAGAUGUCCUGAGCCGCACGCGCGCUACACUGAUGCAUGCAACGAGUUUAUAACCUUGGCCUGAAAGGUCUGGGUAAUCUUUUGAACGUGCAUCGUGAUAGGGAUAGAUUAUUGCAAUUGUUAAUCUUGAACGAGGAAUUCCUAGUAAACGCGAGUCAUCAGCUCGCAUUGAUUACGUCCCUGCCCUUUGUACACACCGCCCGUCGCACCUACCGAUUGAAUGGUUCGGUGAAGAUCUCGGACUUCGAUAUUUAUUCUUUAUUGAGUUUAUAUUGUGGGAAGUUAUCUAAACCUCAUCAUUUAGAGGAAGGUGAAGUCGUAACA